UACGGAGGAAGCGAGAAUUAUCCGGAAUUAAUGGGCGUAAAGCGUCCGUAGGUGGUGAUUCAAGCCAGCGGUUAAAGCGUGGGGCUUAACCUCAUACAGGCCGUUGAAACUGGAUUGCUAGAGUGCGGUAGGGGUCGAGGGAAUUCCCAGUGUAGCGGUGAAAUGCGUAGAUAUUGGGAAGAACACCGGUGGCGAAAGCGCUCGGCUGGGCCUGCACUGACACUGAGGGACGAAAGCUAGGGGAGAGAAAGGG
This 253-nucleotide ribosomal RNA is filed under the name uncultured bacterium. RNAcentral describes it as "partial 16S ribosomal RNA". It matches the Rfam family "Bacterial small subunit ribosomal RNA", at positions 524 to 776 of the family's 1533-position model. The record is from RNAcentral.